CCUUUAAGUCUUUACCGGUUUAGACAUAAAAUGGUACAAUCAAUUAAUCAGCUCUAAAAAUAGCAAGCGGCGUGGUGUUUGGUGUUGGGAUGGACGUAAAGAGGAUGAAUUAACAUAACGGGAUCUUAUCGGGAGAGGCUUGAUGGUGCUUGCUCCUAUACGUUGCGUAGUUUUUUAUAAAAACAUCCCGUGCUUCCAUGUAGACAUGAUUUGUUUGAUGUUAGAUAACAAAUAACAUAAACAAUACGAUGGCAGAUAUUAUGCAAAGAUAACAGGCAACGCAAAGCAUUGAAGGUUAACGUGAUGGCAACGUAUGGUAAAUAUUCUGGUCAUAGAGGUUUGGUGUUGUAACGUACAAAUGUUAUUAUAAUAUGUUGUUCACGAGUUUUAUGUCAGGUGAAACGAGAAUAAAGUAUGAACGGCAUCGACACUCUGAGAUUCACGAAGAGCUUUCGAUCCUUCGCCGACAUCAGCAUGUAACAAUACGGCAACAAAUGUAUUAAAAUUAUGGAAGCCUUCAUGUGAAACGUUCCAUGGAAGAAAAAAAGUUUAUAGUUAACGUUCAAUGUCUUUUGGCAUGUGAUAAUGAGGAAAUGAAUAACCAACUGAAGAAAGAUAACAUAUCAUUUCAAUAUUGUUGCUAAAGAUAAACAGUUAAGUGAUGACACACAGAAUAUAUCCUCAGACAAUUGUUUUUCACAUUUGUUCUUUCUAAUCUUUGUCCAUUAUUGCAUUUUUGUUCUGCUCAAUGGUGAUUUAUUCAAUCAAGUAUUGGCAUUAUCCAUUUAUAUCAACAUUCAGUUUAGAUAUAGGCAUGUGUUAACAUCUGUAACUUUCUGGCUUACACACAUUAUGAGUUUUAUGUAACGAGGUCCUUGACAAGAAUUCAUCUCUCAAUACGGAUUCUGGAGUUCCAUUUUUCCAAUCAUCAUAAAAAAUUGUCUUCGUGUCCUGAAUUUGCGCUAUUUUCUUUAACAAUGUAUAUGCAAACAAAGCCAUAAGGUAAAAUGUGGUCAUUUAAUAGUUUACACUUAAACUAAAAAAUGAAACUCACAAAUAAAUGAUAUUCGAAAUGUUCAUUUAUGUAUGGAAAUAGAUUGCCAAAACUUCCCCAAAUAAAUAACACAUUUACUGAAUUAUGUGUUAUUCUUAACAUUGAUACAACGAAUUAACAAUUUGGCACUCCCGACGUACAUAGCCUAUAAUUAAAGACAACAAAAACGACUCGUGCUAUUGUUGCAAUUGUAAUAAUUAACCAUUACAAGCGAAAAAUAUAGAUGAUUCAAAUUAUGUAACUAUUCGGGCUCAAGUACUUUGAAGAGGAUAUUUUACAAUAUUACGUAUCCGCUUCAUUUGGAGACUUAUUUGAAAGUUCAUAAAAUGUGGACGUAUC
This is a long non-coding RNA of Dreissena polymorpha, 1393 nucleotides long. RefSeq lists it as uncharacterized. The transcript has 3 exons. The record is from RefSeq and is a predicted model, not a curated record. NCBI's taxonomy places the organism in Eukaryota, Metazoa, Mollusca, Bivalvia, Myida, Dreissenidae.